RNAcentral lists this ribosomal RNA (396 nucleotides) under uncultured bacterium. RNAcentral describes it as "bacterial SSU rRNA". It matches the Rfam family "Bacterial small subunit ribosomal RNA", at positions 30 to 431 of the family's 1533-position model. The record is from RNAcentral.
AUUGAACGCUGGCGGCAUGCCUUACACAUGCAAGUCGAACGGCAGCACGGGAGCAAUCCUGGUGGCGAGUGGCGAACGGGUGAGUAAUAUAUCGGAACGUGCCCAGUCGUGGGGAUAACGUAGCGAAAGCUACGCUAAUACCGCAUACGAUCUAUGGAUGAAAGCGGGGGAUCGCAAGACCUCGCGCGAUUGGAGCGGCCGAUAUCAGAUUAGGUAGUUGGUGAGGUAAAGGCUCACCAAGCCGACGAUCUGUAGCUGGUCUGAGAGGACGACCAGCCACACUGGGACUGAGACACGGCCCAGACUCCUACGGGAGGCAGCAGUGGGGAAUUUUUGGACAAUGGGCGCAAGCCUGAUCCAGCAAUGCCGCGUGCAGGAUGAAGGCCUGGUGUAACU